GAUGAAGAACGCAGCGAAAUGCGAUAAGUGAUGUGAAUUGCAGAAUUCAGUGAAUCAUCGAAUCUUUGAACGCACAUUGCGCCCAUUAGUAUUCUAGUGGGCAUGCCUGUUCGAGCGUCAUUUCAACCCUUAAGCCUAGCUUAGUGUUGGGAAUCUGCUGUAUUGCAGUUCCUCAAAUACAACGGCGGAUCUGUAACAUCCUCUGAGCGUAGUAAAUUUUUAUCUCGCUUUUGUUAGGUGUUGCAGCUCUCAGCCGCUAAACCCCCCAAUUUUUGUGGUUGACCUCGGAUCAGGUAGGAAUACCCGCUGAACUUAAGCAUAUCAAUAAGCGGAGGA
Molecule: unclassified non-coding RNA, 336 nt
Filed under: soil metagenome
Description: partial contains 5.8S ribosomal RNA, internal transcribed spacer 2, and large subunit ribosomal RNA
Rfam family: 5.8S ribosomal RNA (bases 1-120)
Source: RNAcentral